This 639-nucleotide ribosomal RNA is filed under the name Triticum aestivum (bread wheat). Its description in RNAcentral is "partial small subunit ribosomal RNA". The record is from RNAcentral. Lineage: Eukaryota; Viridiplantae; Streptophyta; Magnoliopsida; Poales; Poaceae.
AUGGCCUCCAGUGAGCUGCCGCCGUCGCAGAAGAAAUCCAGUCCCACCACCAUAUGCGCCCUCGGCGACGACCUCCUGCGCGAGGUGUUGCUCCGACUGCCCUCCCUCCCGACCCUCGUCCGCGCCGCGCUGACCUGCCCCACUUUCCUCCACGCCGUCCGUUCGUCCCCCGCGUUCCGCCGCCGCUUCCGCGACCUCCACCCGGCCCCGCUCCUGGGCGUCUUCCUCGACAUCUACGGGCCCGCCAUGCCCGCCUUCGUGCCCGUCCGCCGCCGGUCUGACCCGGACCACGCCGCGGCCGUCCGCCGCGCCGACGUCUUCCUCACCCGGGUCCCCGAAGACGAACAAGAAGGCGAAGGUGAAGGCGAAGGGGAAGAAGAAGAAGGCGAAGACGAACUGGAAGACAGAUACGUGGACGGCCCCGGAUGGUCGAUGACCGAGUGCCGCGAUGGGUACGUGCUUCUCUACCACCUGCUCACCAAGCGGGCGGCCGUCUACGACCCCCUCACGCGGCGCCUGCAUCUUCUCUCACCGCCGCACGCAGAGAUCUGCGCCGAAGACCCCGAAGUGGCCGAGGUUGAGUUCCACGUCCUCACCUCCCAAGAGGACCGCCGGUCGCUCCGCCUGCUCUGCAUCUAA